UACAGAGGUCUCAAGCGUUGUUCGGAUUCAUUGGGCGUAAAGGGUGUGUAGGUGGCGCGCUAAGUCGGGUGUGAAAUUUCGGAGAUUAACUCCGAAACUGCAUUCGAUACUGGCGUGCUUGAGGACUGGAGAGGAGACUGGAAUUCCUGGUGUAGCGGUGAAAUGCGCAGAUAUCAGGAGGAACACCGGUGGCGAAGGCGGGUCUCUGGGCCGAUACUGACGCUGAGGAGCGAAAGCGUGGGGAGCGAACAGG
RNAcentral lists this ribosomal RNA (253 nucleotides) under uncultured bacterium. Its description in RNAcentral is "partial 16S ribosomal RNA". It matches the Rfam family "Bacterial small subunit ribosomal RNA", at positions 524 to 776 of the family's 1533-position model. The record is from RNAcentral.